AGUGAACGCUGGCGGCAGGCCUAACACAUGCAAGUCGAGCGGCAGCGCGUCCGACCACCCUCGGGUGGUCGGAUGGCGGCGAGCGGCGGACGGGUGGGGAAUGCAUCGGAAUCUGCCUCGUUGUGGGGGAUAACGUAGGGAAACUUACGCUAAUACCGCAUACGACCUACGGGUGAAAGUGGGGGACCUUCGGGCCUCACGCGAUGAGAUGAGCCGAUGCCGGAUUAGCUAGUUGGCGGGGUAAAGGCCCACCAAGGCGACGAUCCGUAGCUGGUCUGAGAGGAUGAUCAGCCACACUGGAACUGAGACACGGUCCAGACUCCUACGGGAGGCAGCAGUGGGGAAUAUUGGACAAUGGGGGCAACCCUGAUCCAGCCAUGCCGCGUGUGUGAAGAAGGCC
This 400-nucleotide ribosomal RNA is filed under the name uncultured bacterium. RNAcentral describes it as "bacterial SSU rRNA". It matches the Rfam family "Bacterial small subunit ribosomal RNA", at positions 30 to 416 of the family's 1533-position model. The record is from RNAcentral.